Molecule: ribosomal RNA, 485 nt
Filed under: uncultured bacterium
Lineage: Bacteria
Description: partial 16S ribosomal RNA
Rfam family: Bacterial small subunit ribosomal RNA
Source: RNAcentral
GAUGAACGCUGGCGGCGUGCCUAAUACAUGCAAGUCGAACGCUGGAGAUCUAGCUUGCUAGAUCGAAGGAGUGGCGAACGGGUGAGUAAUACAUAAGCAACCUACCCACGAAGACUGGGAUAAUCUCUGGGAACGGGGACUAAUACCGGAUAGGUAAUCGGAAGGCAUCUUCUGGUUAUUAAAGGUUAAAAACACUGGUGGAUGGGCUUAUGGCGCAUUAGUUAGUUGGUGAGGUAACGGCCCACCAAGACGAUGAUGCGUAGCCGGCCUGAGAGGGUGAACGGCCACAUUGGGACUGAGACACGGCCCAGACUCCUACGGGAGGCAGCAGUAGGGAAUUUUCGGCAAUGGGGGCAACCCUGACCGAGCAACGCCGCGUGAGUGAAGACGGCCUUCGGGUUGUAAAGCUCUGUUGUAAGGGAAGAACGGUAGAUAGAGAAUAUCUAAGUGACGGUACCUUACCAGAAAGCCACGGCUAACUACGU